Long non-coding RNA from Salvelinus fontinalis (brook trout), 4334 nucleotides. RefSeq lists it as uncharacterized. The record is from RefSeq and is a predicted model, not a curated record. NCBI's taxonomy places the organism in Eukaryota, Metazoa, Chordata, Actinopteri, Salmoniformes, Salmonidae. The transcript has 2 exons.
CUGAUUGAGAAUCAUACCAGGCCGAACACAAAAUCCCAACAUAGAAAUAGAAAACAUAGACUGCCCACCCAAAACUCACGCCCUGACCAAUAAACACAUACAAAACAAGAGAAAAGAGGUCAAGAACGUGACAAGGCCAAUUUUCAUGUGAAUACAUUUUAGAAAAGUGUGUGUGUUCAUCCAUCCACCAUUUGUUGUUACCUGAGAAUGUAUCCUGAACAAAAAUAUAAACGUAACAUGCAACAAUUUCAACAGUUUUACUGAGUUACAGUAAAUCAGUCAAUUUAAAUAAAUUCAUUAGGCCCUAAUCUAUGGAUUUCAUAUGACUGGCCAGGGGCGCAGCCAUAGAUGGGCCUGGAAGAGCAUAGGCCCACCCACUUGGGAGCCAGGCCCAACCAAUCAGAAUGAUUUGUUUCCUCACAAAAGGGCUUUAUUACAGACAGAAAUAGUCCUCAGUUUCAUCAGCUGUCUUGGUGGCUGGUCUCAGACGAUCCCGCAGGUGAAGAACCCGGAUGUGGAGGUCCUGGACUGGCGUGGUUAUUCAACAUUCUGCCAUAUUCUCUAAAACAACGUUGGAGGUGGCUUAUGGUAGAGAAAUUAACAUUACAUUCUCUGGCAACAGCUCUGGUGAACAUUCCUGCAGUCAGUGUGCCAAUUGCAUGCUCCCUCAAAACUUGAGACAUCUGUGGCAUUGCACACUUUUAGAGUGGCCUCCCGCUCACAUACACUUGUAUCCCUUCUCCGGCUUGGCUACCGCGGGGUACCGUUCAGAGAAAUGGCAUCCCGGAGGAAUGGCACUUCAAGCCUUUCUCUACCCUUCACCAGGUGGUUACAGACCGAAACAACGCAGAGAGGAUUCACCAUGAGUCCAAAACACUGUAUAAGGAGACCGAGGCUGGGGCUCUGCACACCCAAGCUGAGGGGACGCGGCACCUGGGCGAGAGACUGCAGAAUAUCCACUUCUGGAAGUCAGAGCUGCAGCGGCACAUCGAAAAGCUGGUGGCCGAGACAGACCUCCUCCUGGGGCAGAAGAGGAGGCUGUUGAAGGCGCUGGACGCCACCGAGAUCCCGUUCGCCAUCGCCACGGAUAACCUAACCUGUCGGUAACAGUGACCACGUAGAAGAGGAGCUGCUGAUGAUACAAAUAAAACAAAUGUUUUGUCUUUGCUCUAGUUCACCUAAAUACUUGUAUCAUUACUAAAUGUUGCCUAGACGUUAUUUCACUAGAAACCAAUCUGGAAAUAACGUGAUGGUUGUGUUUGUGUACCACAGGAGGUGGAGUUGAUCAGGAGCAUCCAGGCUCUGUUGAAGAGAACGCUGAGUCAGGCUGUCAAUCAAAUCAAGUGAGUGUCACAAUUAAACAAUAAGGGUUUUUAUUUCUCAAAACUUGGAUGAUACAAAUUAUGACAAGGAAAUAAACCAAAGUGCUUUAAAAUAUACCAAGGGCUAAAUGACUUGAAAAACGGACUGUCCUAUAAAGUAUUAACGUGAAAAAGAACUUCGCUAUAACGUGCAGGAACAGAACGUACAUAAACCAAAAAUCAACUCACUGAUGGGACGUUCCACGGAGACUAUAAGGGGAGCUCCAAGGCAAGUCUGCAAACCAUCAAGUUUUACAUGUAUACAAUAAUGAUAAUGUUAAAUACAAGCAUUAUUUUAGCAAUAACAGUACACAAUAUAAAUGUACUACUGUACUUCGCUAUUUUAAACUCGUCAAAGGAAAGAAAUUAUUCCCCUGGGGUGAACAGAGGGUGUGCAUUUCCCAACGCCCUUCCGGAACCGUAUUUUAACCCUGGAAUUCAGGUCGGACCUCCUUUAUCAGAACACCGCGGCAUCCAUCACUGCUGAGGAACAAGACAUUACUUUGAACCGUGACUAUUUACUUGAGAAUGAUAAUGGUUAAAUUAUACCAAUGACUGUUACCACGUAAACUAUGAAGCGUGCACUCAACAUAGAAAACAAUGAUAGCAAAUGUCAAACUGUAUUUCUGCAAUAAAGUUAAGUUACGAUAUAAACAAAAGAUGUGUGUCGCAUCGUCAUUUCUAUUAUGUGUACAGUGCAAAGUGAGUGAUAACGUGCAUAAAAUUAAAAGGAUAUUUGUUAUGGCCUGUACACUACGGCGUGGCUCGCUUGUGGGCAUGCUGGCAGCAGCAGUUCGGUUGUACAACAAUAAUUCAACAUAGUAAGUUUGUAUGACGAUCUGGUUAUUAAAUGGGUAAAUAGUUUACAGACAGUUAAAUAGUAGUGUGCGCUAAACCGCUCUGGUGACGAACGUUGCUGCCCUGUUUCCAAUCGUCCACAUUGCUGCUGUAUGAACCUAUUCAAGUAAGUAAAUACACUUUGGGAAAAAGACUAUACCCGUGUUCGAAUACCCAUAACACACUGUAUACUACAUAUUAAAUGAGUGUAUAUACUAUUAGUUAAUUUUAGGAAACUGUAAACGAACGGUAUCCUUCCAAUUCGUUAGUUGAUGCUGUGACUAUGCAACGUCUUACUAGCUUGUUAGUAAAACAAAUGACAAGACAUUUUACAACUUCAUUAAAACAAUGUCCAUUAAAAACGCUCAACGACUAUACCGCUAAGCUAAGAAUUACGUGAAUAAUCAAGUCAAUAGGUUGCGUAUGUAAAUUCACUCUACUCCGAUUUCAGAGCAGUCUCGUCUGUGUGCCAGAGCGAAGAAUAACUGACGAAUCUACGAACGCCUAACACCCAUAGAAUAUGGCCGGUGUCAGUAAAUAUCGGCAAAAAGGCGUAAUUAAAUUGUUGUCAGCAGCACAGUUCGCCACCAACGCCCUGGACAACAUGAAAACAACCUAACCAGUUCUGCUAGGGCGAGUAAAAUUAAGUAACGUUACCGAGCGAGUUAGCUCGAUUGCCAUUGUGAGCGUCCAGUGUGCGUUCUGAACGCUUCAAGAUCUAAACGCAAUUUACAAACACAGUUGGGUAGUUAGAUAGCAUAUAAGUUAGUUAAUAUACUGGCAAGUUCGAUCUAUUAGUAGCCAACUAACGGGUAACUUAACUAGCUAACGUAACGGCACAUAGUGCUAUAUUGAUAUGCGGUUGAAUGUGGGCCGAGAUAUCCAGAGGCACCACCGUUUGUCAGAUUUGUAAUUAAGAUAAACUUGAAUGGUGUGGUUGAUACAUGAACAUUGUCUGCACUGGCCAAGUGGCAGAAUUCCUACAGCCUCCGUGUAGUCCUGCAGGAGCUCAGACGACUCAUGAUGUGCAAGGAGAACAUGACGCUCCCUCAGCCACCAGAGGGCCAGAUCUACACCAACUGAGCCCACGCUACUACUCUCCUUUUCCAUCUUUUGUUUGCGUUUAUCCUUUCAUCCCAUCCACCACCUCCCUCCUUAUUUUCAUUAAUUCGCCAGCCAACACUCUAGCGCACACACACAUAGGGACGUACGAAUGCAGACACCCACAACCAUGCAAUCACUUCUACAUGCGCCAGGCCCUGGCCCUUCCCCUUUCCAUCACUGGAGCUCUGGUUGGACUAGAGAAGACUUGGUAGGCGGGGUCAUCGGUCCAGAUCUGAUCAUUCGAAUACUGUACAUGUUACUAAUCUUUUUCUAUUAUUUGUUAUAAAUGCAGAUUGUACAAUAAUAUAAAUAAUCUUAUUGAGUGUAAAAAAAUAAAAAAGUAAGGAUAGCGUAGCUAACAAAUCGUCUGGCAACAUAAUGUGUAACUUAUUUCAAAAGUAAAUACUUUAUUACAUUGCUCGACAUUUCCUUAACAUUUGUCAUAAUUAGUUAAAGCAAUGAAUUCGUAUCUUUUCUCGUUGGACUUCGCCAGCAUAUUUUCGCCAUUUUCUUCAAAUCUGAAAACGUUUUAGCCCAUUUUCGAAAGAACUGCAUUAUGGGCCAUAAAAGCACGGAAAUGUUGUCCACUGCUUGUAUACUUUGUAUUUUCGGUAAUGACGUACGAAAUGCCGGAACUUUUGAUACAGAGCUGUAAAACAUUGUCUGCAGAUGAAGAGCAAUGGUUCCCAGUCCUGUUCCUGGGGUCUCAAAGGGGUGCACAUUUUUAUUUUUGCCUUAGUGCUACCCAGCUGAUUCAAAUGAUCAAGUCAUCAUCAAGCUUCAAGUGGUAUUUAUGUAUUAAUUUGUGACGAUUUUCUGCCAUCAUUGUAAGCCUGCCCCACACACACACACUAUACAUUUAUUAAACAUAAGAAGGAGUGUGAGUUUGUCACAACCUGGCUCAUGGGAAUUGACAGAGCUCUUAUAGGACAAGGGCACAAAAUAAUAUAAUACAAUUCAAUAAAUUUGCUAUUUAUUUAACCAUCUUACAUAUAAAACCUUUUGUUAAUCGAUAAUGGUUAAAAAAUCAAA